Molecule: long non-coding RNA, 2769 nt
Filed under: Lactuca sativa (garden lettuce)
Lineage: Eukaryota; Viridiplantae; Streptophyta; Magnoliopsida; Asterales; Asteraceae
Description: long non-coding RNA (LSAT_LNC000265)
Source: RNAcentral
CAGUUCCUUGAAAACCCCAGUAUUUCGGUGAUUUUCUUUUCAGUUCAAUAUUGAUUUUUGAAUUGGUAACCAUCUCUCCCAUCUCGCCUCCUUCCCUUAUAUGUAGCAUCUCACCGCCAUUUUUCUUCCCAUUCUCCAUAAACCCUAGCCACACUCCACCACCGCCACAACUCAAUUAUGUGCCUUAACAUCUAAAGAGCCGCCAAGGUCAGCUCUCUCUGUGUGUGUGUGUGUGUGCAUCCUCUAUUUCCAUCAUAAUACAAUGGUUAAAAACAAAAAACAAAAACCCAGAAUGAUACACAUAUUUUAAAUUAAUUGAAGAAUGAGAAUGUCAAGGUGUUUUGUGUUACGUGUUUGUGUGCGAGGUUAUCCAUGUAAGCCGAGAAUCUGCUUUUUCGUCCUUCUCCAUCCUGCUCUGCAACAGCUCUCUACCUUUUCUUCUUUGUGCAUUCUGUUUACUCGGAUUCACCAAGGUACCUUCUGAAUCUUCAUAUUUGGGAACACUUUUCUUUUCACAUACCCUUUGUCAGCAUCGCUACUAAAACCCUAUAUCUCCAUGUUUUGAAAUCAUUUUCACAAUAAAAAUGCUUCAGGUUAUGAAAUCGUUUUUUCUCUGAUUUUUUCGUGUUUCAGGAAGAUGAGUGGGGAUGUUUUUUAUGAUUUUGAUUAAACUAAAGUAGAGUUAUAUUACUUUGGAGCCCCUUUAUCACUCAGGUAAUAUAACAAAAGAAUGGGUUUGCUACAUACAAACGACAUUCUAACAUACUAUCACAUUCAAGUGGAUAAUAUGAUCCAUUAUCUUAAGGUAUGUUCCAUUUUAUUACUAAUGUGAUAUGUGAUAUUUAGUCGAAAUUACAUAAAUAAUUUGAUGGUUUCUUAAAAAACUAAAUGUUGGAAAUUCUAUGAUUUUUUGAAAAUUUUAGAUUUUUUCUACUGUUCUAACACUUUUAGCGAUUCUUUAUUUUCUAUUAAAUUGAUUCAUCAUCCAUAACCUGUCAUUUGUCUAUGGAGAUACAAAUCAGCUAUGGGUUUUUUUGUUGAUUCAAGCUGAGAUAAUAAUGGGCAAUUGCAAAUCUUUUGUACCUUCAACAAAGUAAGAGAUUGGUUCAUGAUUUGAUUAAAUUUAUUUUCAAUCAUUUGAAUAUUGAUUUAUUUAAAUCCCUGGUUCAUGAUUUUUUUUUUCAGUUUGCUUAAUUUCAUUUUAAGAUAUAGAUUAUGUAAUUUUUAGGUUUCCAAUUAUAAAAAGUCUUUUGAAAACUGGGUAAUAACCAAAGAAAUUCUUUUGUAUCAAUUUGGUUAUGUGUCUUCCAAGCUAGAUGAGUGCAUCAAAGGUUUUAAUGACAUAAAUUUGGAAUAAGUUUUCCCCACGAAGACCGAGAAGUAUAAGAGGACUUGAAUUGAGGUUUUAAUGGGCUCAAACUGGUAGUACAUCUUAUCUCGACUUAUUUCAUUUUUCUAACUUUCCAUCGAUCCUAAUUUUUUACUGGUGUAAAUAAUUUCCAUGUUUUAGUCAUAGUUCAAAUUCUUUUAUCCAUUUAUAUUUUAUUGUGGUUUAUAAUGGUUUUUGAAGGUAAAGACUUGAACAAAGAUUUAUACUUGAAGAUGAAGUUAUGAAUGGAGUAUCAAGCAACAAUAGGUCCCGAAAUGGACUAAAAUUCUAGAAGGGAAAAAAUGAAGUUAUGUAUACAAAGCAUGUCAAGAUAUUUCUAUCGGUGAUUUUUCUUUUCCUUAUUUUGUAAAAGCCUAUUAAUUUACAUGGGAAGAUUAUAAAUGUGAUUUUACAUGAAAAACAACCAAAUACCAUUUUAUUUUACUGAACUGACUGAUUUUUAUAUUGUACAUAAUUGGGAUUAUUACUCUAUUUUUAGGUAUUAUCUAGCAAUCUUCGUAUGUUUGCAUGGAAACAUGAUUUAAUCCUGCAGUUGUAUAAACAUUAAACAGUCUUUAGCAUGUUGCAAUUGAUAGAUUGGUUCUGGUUUGUUCUUAGCUUCUUUCAAGUGUCUUGCAUUCAUUUUCUUAAUAUUUACUUCAAUUUACUUAAGGACCAAAAGGGUUACGAGAAUAUUAGUUGAAGCAUUUAACCCUAGAUAAUAAGGAAAAAUGAAAGAAAUAACAACCUACUUCGAUUUAUACAAUAUAUAAAACUUUUAACUUAGGAGUAUAAAGACAGGAUGUAUGUAAGUUUAUGCGUGAUUGUAUUUCCAAUAUUUUAAUUAUUAAGACAUUUUACAUUGAAUAAAUUUAUCCAAUUAUAGCAAUGAAUAUUAUUUGUAUCUUGAUGACAUUAAUACAGUUGUAUAGGUGUUAAAUGUCAUAGGAAAGGAAAUGGUCUUGGUGGAAGAUGAGAAGGUGUUAAAGAGAAGACACAUUCAUCGCAAACACAAAAGGAAAUGGUCUUGGAUAUUUGGAAUUGAUCAAAUUGUUGGUAUAAAGGACAGGAAAGCAACAAACUUCGAACAUGAUCUGUGAUAAUUGGAAUUAAGAUACUUUCAACAAAAUAAAAUUCUCUUUUGUUGACUUUAAUUGUAUUAAAGUUCAUAAUUGAAUAAAGUUUUAAAUAUGUUGGUUGUAUUGAUUUAAUGGUUAAAAUUUUCAAUUUUUUAGGAAAUUGUGUGGAGUAAAACCAAUAAUUUAUUGUUUGAUGAACUUAUCGUAAAUAGGUUGCCAUAACAUUAGGAUUUCAUUAUCACAUUCAUAGUAGAAAAUCACGUAAAGAAAAUCAUAUUUUAAUAUAUUCACUGUUGAUACAGGAUCUAUUUAUUAUGUUGC